GACGAACGCUGGCGGCGUGCUUAACACAUGCAAGUCGAACGAUGAAGAAGAGAAACGCGAACUUCGGUUCAAAUUUCACUUCGGAUUAGUGGCAGACGGGUGAGUAACGCGUGAGCAACCUACCUCUUACAAAGGGAUAGCCUCGGGAAACCGUGAUUAAUACCAUAUGACACAUUCAUAAGGCAUCUUAAGAAUGUUAAAGCUACGGCGGUAAGAGAUGGGCUCGCGUCCCAUUAGCUAGUUGGUGAGGUAACGGCCCACCAAGGCGACGAUGGGUAACCGGCCUGAGAGGGUGAACGGUCACAUUGGAACUGAGACACGGUCCGAACUCCUACGGGAGGCAGCAGUGGGGAAUAUUGCACAAUGGAGGGAACUCUGAUGCAGCGACGCCGCGUGAGCGAUGAAGGAAUUCGUUUCGUAAAGCUCUGUUCUAUGGGAAGAAAAGGACUGUACCAUAGGAGAAAGCCCCGGCUAAAUACGUG
RNAcentral lists this ribosomal RNA (482 nucleotides) under uncultured bacterium. RNAcentral describes it as "partial 16S ribosomal RNA". It matches the Rfam family "Bacterial small subunit ribosomal RNA", at positions 28 to 507 of the family's 1533-position model. The record is from RNAcentral.